This is a long non-coding RNA of Lemur catta (Ring-tailed lemur), 640 nucleotides long. RefSeq lists it as uncharacterized. The transcript has 3 exons. Lineage: Eukaryota; Metazoa; Chordata; Mammalia; Primates; Lemuridae. The record is from RefSeq and is a predicted model, not a curated record.
CAUUUACGACUGUGUCGCUGGCAGUGUCUGUUAACUCAGUGUGCCCAGGGCUGCUUGGACAAAGUCAGAGGGCCAUUAUGGGCCAUAUAGUUGAGAUUAUGAAACCAUCACAUACACUGUUGUCCUGUUUUUGUCAUUCUGAACACUGUCUGAAGGCAGAGGUUAUUAGGAGUGUGAAAUAUAAUGGAUAAUUUCUACCUUAAAUUCUGAGCUCAGUCAUUGGAGUUGAUGGCUCCCGAGGCAGUCGGGAGGCAUUAGAGGUUUUCAAAGGAAGGAGCACAGCUGGGAACCUCGUGUGCAGAAUGCCAACCUUCUAAGAGGUGCCUUUCAGACUCUGCAUUGCUGAUCCUUUGAACGUGCCCUCUGCAGUAGUUGAGCCCGGUGUCGUCUUGGCUGUGUGUGGCUCUGCUGUUCCAGCAGGAAGAUGGACGGAACAUAAUUAGCCUCAAACGGAACCAUGUGAACAUCACGUCAAUGGCAUGUGGGGCUGCCAGGAACAGCAGGGAGUGGCCUGGGUGGGAAGCUUCCCUAGGGCCCUGCCAUGCUGCCGGGAGAGCACCCCCAAAGGUAAGGCCUUUGCCAUUCUGUUUGGUUACUGGGAUCUUGACUCCAUUGGUAGGAAGACUUCACUGAGGAACAU